GCAGGUGUAGCUCAGCGAUAGGGCACGUGCCUGGCGUGCACGAGGUCCUGGGUUCGAUCCCCAGUACCUCCG
RNAcentral lists this transfer RNA (72 nucleotides) under Camelus bactrianus (Bactrian camel). It matches the Rfam family "tRNA". Rfam says of the family: Transfer RNA (tRNA) molecules are approximately 80 nucleotides in length. Lineage: Eukaryota; Metazoa; Chordata; Mammalia; Artiodactyla; Camelidae. RNAcentral also lists the same sequence under 2 other names. The record is from Rfam by way of RNAcentral.